GGAGAGAUGGCUCAGUGGUUAAGAGCACUGACUGCUCUUCCAGAGGUCGUGAGUUCAAUUCCCAGCAACCACA
Molecule: transfer RNA, 73 nt
Filed under: Mus musculus (house mouse)
Lineage: Eukaryota; Metazoa; Chordata; Mammalia; Rodentia; Muridae
Description: tRNA-Ser
Source: RNAcentral